Molecule: long non-coding RNA, 227 nt
Organism: Gambusia affinis (western mosquitofish)
Lineage: Eukaryota; Metazoa; Chordata; Actinopteri; Cyprinodontiformes; Poeciliidae
Exons: 3
Source: RefSeq, a predicted model, not a curated record
GUUUUGGAGUACUUCAGCAAAUUUGUUAAACACCCAAGCAAACACCCACUGAGUCAAGAACAAUGCUUUGUGCAAACAAGUUGUGACAGUUUAGGUCUCUGCAGUCUCCCUUGCAUCAGUCAUUCUCCAGCUACUCCUUCAGAUCACAACAUUCCAUUUCUUUGUCUAUACUUGGCGAUGGGAGAACAUGUGCCAAUAGUGUAGCAGAACUUGAAUUUAAAGAUGAG